UGCCAGCCGCCGCGGUAAUACGGAGGGUACAAACGUUGUUCGGAAUCACUGGGCAUAAAGAGCACGUAGGCGGCUUACUCAGUCGGGUGUGAAAGCCCUCGGCUCAACCGAGGAAUUGCAUCCGAUACUGGUAAGCUUGAGGAUGGCAGGGGUGAGUGGAACUCCAGGUGGAACGGUGAAAUGUGUAGAUAUCUGGAGGAACACCGGUGGCGAAAGCGGCUCACUGGGCCAUCUCUGACGCUGAGGUGCGAAAGCUAGGGUAGCAAACGGGAUUAGAUA
This 279-nucleotide ribosomal RNA is filed under the name uncultured bacterium. Its description in RNAcentral is "partial 16S ribosomal RNA". It matches the Rfam family "Bacterial small subunit ribosomal RNA", at positions 506 to 784 of the family's 1533-position model. The record is from RNAcentral.